Molecule: ribosomal RNA, 467 nt
Filed under: uncultured bacterium
Lineage: Bacteria
Description: bacterial SSU rRNA
Rfam family: Bacterial small subunit ribosomal RNA
Source: RNAcentral
GAUGAACGCUGGCGGUCUGCUUAACACAUGCAAGUCGAACGGACUCUGUUUUUUCGGAAACAGAGUUAGUGGCGGACGGGUGAGUAACGCGUGAGAAUCUACCUUCAGGACGGAGAUAACAGAGGGAAACCGCUGCUAAUCCCCGAUGAGCCAUUACGGUAAAAGAUUUAUCGCCUGGAGAAGAGCUCGCGUCCGAUUAGUUAGUUGGUGGGGUAAAAGCCUACCAAGACAGCGAUCGGUAGCCGGUCUGAGAGGACAAUCGGCCACACUGGGACUGAGACACGGCCCAGACUCCUACGGGAGGCAGCAGUGGGGAAUUUUCCGCAAUGGGGGCAACCCUGACGGAGCAAGACCGCGUGGGGGAGGAAAGCCUUAGGGUUGUCAACCCCUUUUAUAUGGGAAGAACACAAUGACGGUACCAUAUGAAUCAGCCUCGGCUAACUCCGUGCCAGCCGCCGCCGUAACAC